CUGCUGCUGCUGCACGGACUCACACUCCGCACAACGAGAGUGUGUGUGUGCGUUCACACACAGAGCGUAGAUGGCGUACUUCAUGGCACAAAACCCCUGGAACAAAACGAUGUUCCUCUGCACACCGGAGCUCAGAUUACUGACAGCCUCAGCGUCUUCUGAAGGGAGAAGAAACACAUAAUUCUGUUAUCAAUCAACUCCAAAGUUCAUAAACAAUAACAGAGGAUGAUGAAGGAGAUGCUGACCUGAUGAAGAACUCCAAGCUGGGAGGACAACAGGUUGGAAAACUCCUGCAGAACGGAGUCAUUGGCUGCAGCCUGGAGCAGAGGAUUAUAGAUCAGUUAAUAACAUUAUCGAGGUGUUACGUAUCUGUACAGGUGGAGGUUUGAGCAGACGUCUGACCUGCUCUCGGUGCAGGACACGGAGCAGCGUUUGGGCGGCGCUCAGGCUGCGGCACUGCGUCCAUCCCAGGAGCAACAGCAGGCGGGACAGAGGCUGAAACUCCAGCUGCAGUAAAUCCCUCAGAGCAGGAAACUCCUCGUGUUUGAUCAGGUCCAGAGCCGUGAUCUGCAGGAAGGAACCAACGCUUAUUACAUUAUUCAAUUUCACCACAUGUGCAUCACUGUCAGGACUCAUUCAGAAAGAUACUGAUCGUCAUGGAAGAAGAGUCUGCACACUGCAGGACUCUGGAAACAUGGCCUGUGUUUGACUCACCAAGACCGUCUCCAGGUAGUGCUUUCCACUGCUAAGACACUCAAAGUAGAUGGUCUUCCAGAUGGACGGACGAUCCUUGUGGCAACAUAAACUGAGGACGAGCUUCUCCGCUUCGGGAAGCUCCACUGCGAGAGGGAUGUAAACAAGUAUGAGGAUCCAAAGCGCUUAUCUUAAAAACAAUGAUGGUACCGUUAAUGCAAAAUUCAACGUUUUUGUCUCCGUUUUUUUUCCUCUAGAUUUUUUUCUCCAAAUUUCGAAUUUCGACUAUUUCUUCAAAAUGAUCACUUCCCAAAAGAUCCGACUUUUCAAAUUUCAGAAAUGUUUUCUGAAUGUCGACUUUUACAUUUCUGAUUCUUUUUCCAAAUUUUUCCCAAAAACAUCGGACUUUUGUUUUAAAUAUUCUGACUUUUUUCCUAAAAUUUCUGAGUUGUUCUCCUUUUUGAAUUUCCGACUAUUUCUUUAAAUUCAUCACCACUGUAUAAAAUGCCACAUUUACAGCAACUAUGAAAUCUAAAUCUUGCCCACAGAGAUUUAGGAAAAGGAAAUCUAUGCAGACACCAACAGAAGUGCAGAAGAGAGGAGAGGACGUCACAUUUUGGUGACACAAAGUAAAAACUGCUGAGCGUCUGAAGCCACAGAAGCAGAAGUGUGACGAAAAGAGGAAAGAGAUGAUCAGAAGUCAAAACCUCAGGCUUUGAAUAGAACAUAUCGAUGAAACAAAAACCAGUUCAAAGAGGAAGUGAUUUAUAAUAACACGCAGGUUUCUAAAGGGCAGUCUGCUUAACUUAAGAGAGCUUAAAGGGCCACAUGAGUAUAGUAACCCUAACCCCUUAGAAGAUCCAGAUGUUUGCAGUGUUUUCAUCCAGAGUAAAGUGGCCUCCUCUACCUUGAGUUUGAGGCGCGCUCCUCAGCAGGAGAUCCCUCUGAAGCCUCAGGGCGGUGGAACAGUAAACAGAGACGAGAUCAUCCCCCUGAGGGCGGAGCAGCGAGCUCAGGAUCCUCUCCUCCUUUAGGGGUCCGUCUCUGGCCACCCACAGGGCCUCACACAGCGCCUCCAGCUGACCCCCGCCUGCCCUACUGGAGCUCCACGGCAUCACGGACAACACGGCGUACAUGUCCUCCACGAACUCCUCCACCUUCUCCGGCCGGCUCUCCGGUUUCCUCAGCUGCUUCAGCAGGUGUUGGAUGAAGGGGAGCUGCAGGGGGCGGUCCUCUGAGGAAGACUGGGCCUGCAUGAGAGCGGUCAACAAUAUGUCUGACUGCACCUGGAGGAAAUGUGCUAAGGUCUGGGCGAGUCUGGGCUUCUUCUUCUCCAGUAACGUCUGCAGGCAGGACUCGACAGCAGCGUCUGUUGACCUCUGACCCUCCGGAGACUUCUGCUCCGACUGGGAGUCCAGGAAGGCGCGGUGCAACUCCUGCAGGAAGAGGAUUAUCUCAGACCAUAAUAACCAAACAUAAAGUAAUCUGCAUGUCCUGUGUGAACAUAUAUCUGUGUCUCAGUCAAUUAAGCGUUUCCUAUCUGGUUUUAGACACUUCAUUAUCUACAGCAGACGAUGAUUAAACGAUAAUAACCUUGA
This is a long non-coding RNA of Eleginops maclovinus (Patagonian blennie), 2291 nucleotides long. RefSeq lists it as uncharacterized. The transcript has 3 exons. The record is from RefSeq and is a predicted model, not a curated record. NCBI's taxonomy places the organism in Eukaryota, Metazoa, Chordata, Actinopteri, Perciformes, Eleginopidae.